UGGGUUUUUUUUUUUUUUUUGGUAUAUAGUUUUCUCACCCACUGCUAACUUGGCUUCACACUUUAUUUUUUUAUACUAAAGCUCAUUAGUUUUACUUCCUUAGACUGUUUGUAUCACUCCUUGCUUAAGCCCAGUGAAACUGCCUGCCUUGUCAAAAGGUGUACAGAAAACAAUGACAUUUCUGUUUGAAAUCAUUGCUAGACAUACCAUACUAUUAACAAAAGGUAAAGAUAAGAAAAAGGAGAUCAUUUCUGGCAAGUUUAGAUCUCAGCUUUAAAAAAGUCAAACAUUAGCUUAUGCAAUGAAAGUUUCAAACUGCUGAAUUUAUAAUUUUAAUCUUUUUCAUUCAUCAUGGAAAGUGGAGGCAUAUUUAUCAAACUUACGUAUAUGCAUGUUCAUGUUGGUUUUUGCAUGUCUGAUAAAAACCAAAUAAUCUCUUUUAAGAUGAUCUAAGUCCUUUAAAAUUUUGUUCUUGAAUAAGAAAACUUAGGUCCCUCAAUCUUCUUUAUUUCAAUAGAAGAAUAAUGGUAUGUACUUUUUAUCCAGCAGAAAUAAGCCUAUCCAGUUAAAAUAUUAAGUUAAGCUCGUAUGCUUUGAAAAUGAACUAACAGGAUCAUAAAGAAAACAAAUGCUGCUGUUUCUAAACCAAAGUUUAUAAUGCAUAAAAUAGGAGUUUGUAGGGUUACAAAUUAAAGCUUUACCUUUGACACUUUAACACAAACACAAGAACAUUUAAGUUGUAUCUAUUUAUACAAUUAGGAUUGCAAUUAAAAAUAUUUAACUAGUAUAGCACAGGCAGCAACCAAUGGUAACAGGUACACAUUAUUUCCUUGUGUGCUGGUGCACACCAUUAGCUCUGCGUCAAUUGUUUUGCCAGCAGGUUACUAUAUUUCCUUGUUAUCAAACCAUGGCUUAAUAUUAUUUUCAAUAAAAUGAGUACUUUCACAAAUGAAAUCUUAUUCAGUUUUCCAUGUCAUCAACAGAAGAUGCUUUAACAAAAAUAUUUUCACGCCUAAUUAAAUAGUCAUAAUUCUAGGAUAGCAUAAUCUACAAGGUCAUUAUUAGACUGACCUGUGUGGAGGAGCAAUCCAAAUUUGAGGUGUUAUAUAGAUCUG
This 1115-nucleotide long non-coding RNA is filed under the name Marmota monax (woodchuck). Lineage: Eukaryota; Metazoa; Chordata; Mammalia; Rodentia; Sciuridae. The record is from RNAcentral.